Molecule: non-coding RNA, 3786 nt
Organism: Vicugna pacos (alpaca)
Lineage: Eukaryota; Metazoa; Chordata; Mammalia; Artiodactyla; Camelidae
Source: RefSeq, a predicted model, not a curated record
GCGAGACUGGUGUGGGGAGGUUUUGCGGGAUGUCGGUUGGUCCUAAGGGAGCGGCACCGAAGAGUCAGUCUUGGGCUCAGGGUUAAUCCCAGAGGCAGACAGGUUAGGUGGCUUUCCAUAACCCUCUCUCCUGUCAACCUGUUCUGACUCUUUGAACAGUCCCUAAUACCCUCGGAAUGUUCUCACACAAUAAAGCCUGGGAGAGCAGGGCCUAGGGCAUCCUCACCCUGUACCCCAGUACCUACAACUGUGUGCGGCACGGAGCAUGUGAAGGAAUGAAUGGAGAUGCAUUGGAAACGUUGGCUGUGAUGAAAAGUUCUCUACAUCAAAGUCCAUUUACUGAUUCUCAUUUUAAACCAAGAACUCAGUGUCUCCUGUUCCCCCCAAGUCGCCCGAGAACAAGGCGAUGAGAAGGCCCGCGUCUGUCCUGGAAAAUGUGUGCUGAGCAAGGAAUUCCAGGGAGAAGGAAAAACUGAGGAGUUUGGCGCUGACACAGAAGUCCAGUCCAUCCACAGCUGAGCACAGACUGUAUAACCAUUUACCAAUGAAUUUUGACCGUCAGGGAAUGAUUCCAAGUGCUUUCUGAUCCUGUCGGGAUCAAGAGAAAACCAGUAGUUGCUUUUUAAAAAAAUGUGAUGCUCACAUGAUUGGAGUUUCAUUUUGUUUAAUUUUUAACCAACAGUACCCCCAUUGAGCUUGCUUCUGGAAAGAAAAUUGUGUUUACAGGUGACCUGCUGUUUAUCAGAACCAGCAUGCCGGUGGGCAGAGGGAAGGCAGCACAGGCCUUCGCAGAGAUGUCACGGUUUCCCUUGGAUGAUUCCUAUGUGGAAGCCCUGACCCCAGUGUGAUGGUUUUGGAGGUGAGCCUUUGGGAGGUGAUCAGGGUUGAUGAGGUCCUGAGGUGGGGACCACCAUGAUGGAGUCAGGUCCUGAUAAGAAGAGUCACCAGCGAGCCACACCCCCCACCCCACGGGAGGAGACGGCUCCCACCAGACACCGAAUCUGCCUGCCUCGUGUUCUUGGACUUGCAGCCUCCAGAACUGUGAGAAAUAAGUGAUCGUCAUUUAAGCUACCCAGUCUGUGGUUUCAACAUAAACACCCAGAGCCUCCGGGCGGUGACCCCUGUGUCCUGAAGGCACACUCAAAGGGGACAGCUUGGCACCCAUAGCUUACAACCAAGUGUCAUCAAGUCCACUGGGGACCAGGCCGAACUGGACUGGACGAAAGGGAGCUGAGCGCGUGACGGUGUUUCCAGCUGAAGGCUCAGCUGCUGCCGUGGCCCCCGGGCUUCUAGCCCAGCCCACCCGACGGCGUCGGGAGGCGGCACUAAGGAGCCUCUGGUCGGGGAAGAAAAGGAGGCGGAAGUGCCAGGUGGAAGUCCAGGACUCGAGCGGUGGACACUGCCUGGAGUCCCAGUGAAGGUGCCUGUGGCUUGAUCAGGCCUGGAUAUCUAAUUUAUGUUGUUCAUCGACUCAUAAAAAUGUUACUGCCAAAAACGAGCCCCGAAGGUCACUUUGUGCUGUUUUGAAAAUUACAGUUGAGAAACAGAGGUCUCUCAGCCACUCUGAACCCUGCAUCCUUGGCAGACGUCCGCCCCAGGAGCAGGGUUCUGGCUCUGCCAGGUGCCCCGGUCUUCCGCAGAGAUGCCCUCAGAGCCAGGAGGGGAGGGGUCCUCUCACCAGGAGCACGGUGGCCCCCAGGGCAAGCCCGCCCCUUCCUCUUCUCUUGGGCUGCUAGGGGGUGGGGGCGAGGGGUGUAGGGGUGUUGGGGAGUCAUCAGACUGUGCCACUUCCUAUAAGCCCCCCCUGUUGUUGGAGGCUUUCCAAGAAUUCGGGGAUACAUAGCUCCUUGUGUUCUUUGGGUUUUGCCCAAAUCUUGGGCAAAGGGAAAAUUUGCCACCGCCCUGGAGACCUGCACCCCUCCCCCGGUCUAGCCUGGAAGAUCUCUCAUUUAAGAUCUGGAGGGGCUUUUAUGGCCCACCCUGCAGUUAGAAGAGGCCCGUUCCUGCCCCGUGUAGAGCCCUCCCCGGCCCCCCAGGCAUAAAGAGCCCGGGGAGCAUUUCGUACCAGGUUGUUGCUGUUUCUGCCUCCCCAGGACGCAGUGAGCUUCCAGGGGAUCAGCUUGGUGCAUCCUGUGACAGGCUUCCCCGGCACUUUGCACCUGCCAAACACCCAGACGUCCUCAAUUAACGCUCAUUGAGUGAAUCAAUUUUAUUCUCAGCAGAAAUAAGAUGACAAUGAAUAAGAGACACAUAACCAGGUCACAGGUAUCCACGACAUUGGGAGAAAGAAAAGGACCUGGACGUAUAUACUGAUGGCAAAUUUUGAUUGGCUUAUUUCACUGACAAGUUUGUUUACCUUAAUCGACACACAUUCUUCCUCUAGGAGACACUACAUGGUUUGAGAAGAUGAGCUCUCAGCCACCAGGUUUGCCGGCCAAAUGGUGCAUCGGGACAAUAGGAGGGUCUGCGUGGGGGACCCACGCAGCCACUCAGACAUGUGGUGCACAGAAAGCAGGGGGAGAGAAGUGCGAACGUCAGCUAGUCCCUUGUUGCUUUCAACUGACUUUCUAAGACUGAAGGAUGUAGACGUUAGCUUGUCACCACAGCUCUGACUUACUCGUUUCCCAAGAUGAGGCAAGACCACAGCCUGGCGGGGAAGCAGGUACAGUGUGAGCGAUUAGAUGACCAGCUUCGGUAGGAUAUCCUUUCCUGUCGCAUUGCCCAGAGGUACUGUGCUUCUGGAAAUUGCCUUCACUUGGAAUAUUACUGCCAUUUCAAAAGGGAGGGGGAAAACACAUUCCCCUUUUCAUUCAUUUGCACCUCACUCCUCUAAAGCACUGAAGUCACAUAAUAAGCCUCUAAAAGUUUCUUUCUGGGAAGCACUCCUUACGAUGCGUGGAAAUUUCUGAUUUAUCACCUGAAGAAAACCAGCGUUUUCAGAGCUAGUCUGCGAUUGAUCAGGAUGUUGGGAAUUUGCCCCAGAAGGGGUGUGCCACUGACACUUGCACUAAAAUGAAAAUCUUAGUGUUUAGUUCCUCCUGUCGCCUAUAAAGCCACUCUGCCUCCCACCCCCCCAGAUGCUGCUUCAGUCGGGAGAGAGCCUGGUUCCUUCCUCGCCAGCUCAAGGCUCAGAGUGUUUCGCUCUUCUUGCUGUGUAGGUGAUGCUUUCGAAGGGAGUUUGAGGAACUGAGGUUAUUUAAUUGGGGGAGAGGUCAGGAGUGACUGAGGGCUGCGUUCAGGUGGUUGCAAGGCUUUGGAUGACCUGCUUGUCUCCUUUUCUGCUCGAAGCUGCUAAGUUUCAGCUCCAGGAAGGGGGCCUGGGAGGGCUGCAUCCUGAAACAUGUCAGCCAGGUUCCUGUUUCCGAGAGUUGGAGAGGAGACAGAUGAGGCUCCCAGGUGAAGAUGUUAAGGAGAACUGUGCCUGGGAACUUGAGUCAAGCCUCCUUCCCGAAGAGGAUGCCCAAGACAUUCACUGCAGAGAAAACAGCCCUCCUGUCUUGUGAAUGAGCUGGUGGGAACUGUCAGGACAAACAUGUGGUGAGAAGUCCGUGUUCCAGGUGGACAGAGGUCUAAAACUGGGGCGACACAGGUUCUGCCCUGCACUCUGCUGCUGGUUGAAGGUGUGUGGGCCAUAGCGGCGGCAUGGAGGGUGCCGCUGGGCAGACAGGAAUCUUGAUCCUCAGAGCCUAGGAGGCUAGGGAAGCAGGGAGAGUUCUGGCAUCAUCAGAUGUCCUUAAGAAGAGACUCAACAAUAAAGGAACCUCUGUGCACCCACUGUGGGAUAGA